This 500-nucleotide ribosomal RNA is filed under the name uncultured bacterium. Its description in RNAcentral is "bacterial SSU rRNA". It matches the Rfam family "Bacterial small subunit ribosomal RNA", at positions 364 to 879 of the family's 1533-position model. The record is from RNAcentral.
UUGCCAAUGGGCGAAGCCUGAUGCAGCGACGCCGCGUGGGUGAUGAAGGUUUUCGGAUCGUAAAACCCUUUUCUGUGUGACGAGGAAGGACGGUAGCACAGGAAUAAGUGUCGGCUAACUACGUGCCAGCAGCCGCGGUAAUACGUAGGACGCAAGCGUUAUCCGGAAUUACUGGGCGUAAAGAGCGUGUAGGCGGUUGUCCAAGUCACCCGUGAAAGCUCCCGGCUAAACUGGGAGAGGUCGGGUGAGACUGGAUGGCUAGAGGGUUGUAGAGGGGUGUGGAAUUCCGGGUGUAGUGGUGAAAUGCGUAGAGAUCCGGAGGAACACCAGAGGCGAAGGCGGCACCCUGGACAACACCUGACGCUGAGACGCGAAAGCGCGGGGAGCAAACGGGAUUAGAGACCCCGGUAGUCUGCGCCGUAAACGAUGUGCGCUAGAUGUUCGUCUUCCUACGGGGGGAUGAGCGUCGAAGCCAACGCGAUAAGCGCACCGCCUGAGGA